Molecule: ribosomal RNA, 368 nt
Filed under: uncultured eukaryote
Lineage: Eukaryota
Description: partial 18S ribosomal RNA
Rfam family: Eukaryotic small subunit ribosomal RNA
Source: RNAcentral
CAAUAGCGUAUAUUAAAGUUGUUGCAGUUAAAAAGCUCGUAGUUGGACCUUGGACCUGGACAGGCGGUCCGCCUCACGGCGAGUACUGUCUUGCUGGGUCUUUCCUCUUGGUGAUCUGUUGUUUCGGCAGCAGGGAACCAGGACCUUUACUUUGAAAAAAUUAGAGUGUUCAAAGCAGGCUCGACGCCGGAAUAUAUUAGCAUGGAAUAAUAAAAUAGGACGUGCGGUUCUAUUUUGUUGGUUUUUGUACCGAGGUAAUGAUUAACAGGGACAGUUGUGGGUAUUCAUAUUUGAUUGUCAGAGGUGAAAUUCUUGGAUUUAUCAAAGAUGAACAAGUGCGAAAGCAUUUACCAGGGAUGUUUUCAUUA